AGAGUUUGAUCCUGGCUCAGAAUGAACGCUGGCGGCGUGCUUUACACAUGCAAGUCGAGCGAGGCGUCCCGCAAGGGAUAGUCGAGCGGCGAACGGGUGAGUAACGCGUGGAUAACCUGCCCUGAGGUGGGGGAUAACCAGGGGAAACUCUGGCUAAUACCGCAUGAUACCGAGAGGUCAAAGGGGGCUCGCAAGGGCUCUCGCCAUAGGAGGGGUCCGCGUACGAUUAGCUAGUUGGUAGGGUAAUGGCCUACCAAGGCGACGAUCGUUAGCCGGCCUGAGAGGGUGAUCGGCCACACUGGAACUGAGACACGGUCCAGACUCCUACGGGAGGCAGCAGUGGGGAAUUUUGCGCAAUGGGCUAACGCCUGACGCAGCAACGCCGCGUGGAGGAUGAAGGUCCUUGGAUUGUAAACUCCUGUCAGCAGGGAAAA
RNAcentral lists this ribosomal RNA (434 nucleotides) under uncultured bacterium. RNAcentral's name for it is "bacterial SSU rRNA". It matches the Rfam family "Bacterial small subunit ribosomal RNA", at positions 8 to 448 of the family's 1533-position model. The record is from RNAcentral.